UACGAAGGGGGCUAGCGUUGUUCGGAAUCACUGGGCGUAAAGCGCACGUAGGCGGAUCUUUAAGUCAGGGGUGAAAUCCCGAGGCUCAACCUCGGAACUGCCUUUGAUACUGGGGAUCUUGAGUUCGGGAGAGGUGAGUGGAACUGCGAGUGUAGAGGUGAAAUUCGUAGAUAUUCGCAAGAACACCAGUGGCGAAGGCGGCUCACUGGCCCGAUACUGACGCUGAGGCACGAAAGCGUGGGGAGCAAACAGGG
Molecule: ribosomal RNA, 254 nt
Filed under: uncultured bacterium
Lineage: Bacteria
Description: partial 16S ribosomal RNA
Rfam family: Bacterial small subunit ribosomal RNA
Source: RNAcentral